Molecule: ribosomal RNA, 510 nt
Filed under: uncultured bacterium
Lineage: Bacteria
Description: bacterial SSU rRNA
Rfam family: Bacterial small subunit ribosomal RNA
Source: RNAcentral
AACGAACGCUGGCGGCAGGCUUAACACAUGCAAGUCGAACGCCCGUAGCAAUACGGGAGUGGCAGACGGGUGAGUAACGCGUGGGAAUCUCCCCAAAGGUACGGAACAACUCAGGGAAACUUGAGCUAAUACCGUAUGUGCCCGAGAGGGCAAAGAUUUAUCGCCUUUGGAUGAGCCCGCGUUGGAUUAGCUAGUUGGUGGGGUAAUGGCCUACCAAGGCGACGAUCCAUAGCUGAUCUGAGAGGAUGAUCAGCCACACUGGGACUGAGACACGGCCCAGACUCCUACGGGAGGCAGCAGUGGGGAAUCUUGGACAAUGGGCGAAAGCCUGAUCCAGCCAUGCCGCGUGAGUGAAGAAGGCCUUAGGGUUGUAAAGCUCUUUUGCCCGGGAAGAUAAUGACGGUACCGGGAGAAUAAGCCCCGGCAAACUUCGUGCCAGCAGCCGCGGUAAUACGAAGGGGGCUAGCGUUGUUCGGAUUUACUGGGCGUAAAGCGCACGUAGGCGGAGUU